GGAAGUAUUGAGCAAUUGGUUGGCUCAUCAGAUUGUAAAUCUGGUUUCAUUAAGAACGUGUAGGUUCGAGUCCUAUUACUUCCA
RNAcentral lists this transfer RNA (84 nucleotides) under Polaribacter reichenbachii. It matches the Rfam family "tRNA". From Rfam's summary of the family: Transfer RNA (tRNA) molecules are approximately 80 nucleotides in length. Their secondary structure includes four short double-helical elements and three loops (D, anti-codon, and T loops). Lineage: Bacteria; Pseudomonadati; Bacteroidota; Flavobacteriia; Flavobacteriales; Flavobacteriaceae. The record is from Rfam by way of RNAcentral.